Molecule: long non-coding RNA, 2951 nt
Filed under: Xyrichtys novacula (pearly razorfish)
Lineage: Eukaryota; Metazoa; Chordata; Actinopteri; Labriformes; Labridae
Source: RNAcentral
AAGCUCUUAAGUGUCGCACCCCUUACUUGGGCCGCUUAUUUGUGUCGUAGCCCCGCCCACCAGAGAUGCAUGAAGAAGUGCGAGGAAAAGAAGAGAGGAGGGGGCGAGCGAGGAAAUUUGACAGAGGAGACAUUUUUAUUAAGGCUGACUCUUUUCAUGAAUGAAAGGAGAAAAUAAAUCUGUUUAUUUGUGUCCCACUGAUCCAUCAUAACAGACAAGAAGACUGUCACCUUAAAGGUCAAAAAAAUGUAAUAUGUAAAACUAGGUUAGGUUAGGAUCAUUUCUUUAUCAUUUCCCUGAAGUAAUAAUCAUCAUAUUGAUCAUUUUACAGACGCGGUAGUUCUUCUGUCUUAGCGUCUCGGUCUGAUUGUAUUUCCAUUAAGUAAUGAUCAUAAAUGUUCUUCCUUGAGCUGCGGCACCCCGCUGUAGUCCGUAAUGGACUGGCCUGAGGUCUCUCUACAAACAAGCGUCUGCUGGAAGAGAGUAGGUGAGUUGUGUUUAGUCUCUUUGCUAAAGAAAUGAGUCAAAGUUAAAAAGAUGUUUGGUGUCUAGUACUAUGUCUGUGACCCUAUAUGUACUAACCUCAGUAGAACAUGAUGUAGUUUUGUUCAGUAACAGAACCUCAUUGGAAAAUUAGCUGAUUUAACUUUACUGUGCUCUUGUUCAAAUAUAUUAACUCAACAGCACAUAAAUCCAUACCUGUUAACAAAAUCAUGAUUUUAUUGAUAAUUCGGCUCAAUAAAAACACCUUUACCUUUUCAUUUUACUACAGUAGAAGUUUAUUGGCCCAGUUUAUAGACUACAGAAGUGGAGAAAUGCCCCCGCUUAAGUUUAUGUUUUCUUAGGAGUUAGAACAACUCUGAAUAUAGUACUAUGUCUGUGACCCUAUAUGUCCUGUUGAUGAAGUUAGGUGCUGUUCUGAGCAUUAUUUGUGGCUAUAGAGUGGCGUUUUGGUUGAGGUUUGUUUAUGGCUCCUCAGACCGCUGUCCUGCGGUCAUUACUAAAGUUGGUAUAACUAGAGAAGCAAGCGGUCGACAACAUUCAUCUCUGGAGGGGGGGUCUAACUCGGUGUUACAAUGUGUUUGACCCUAAAUUAAUUUUACACCUGAAUAUCCCUUUAAAGGGAAAUUUACACCUAAACUGAGACGGUUUCUCUCGUUCAGUAACAUGGCAGACCUGACUCCAUCUGUGUCCUAGCUCCAGUGCGUGCUCUCCCUAAAAAAUAUCCCUUUAAGGUUUUUCCUUUUCUGAGUGUGUCUGCAGACGAGCAUAUUUCAAUCAAACAAAUAAAAUAAAUCUAUCUAUAUGUAUCUAUAUAUAUCUGAACAUGUGUCUGUGUCUCCAUAACAGCUGUUCAGUCUGAAACCCGGAUCAUUAUCAGCCCAGAGUUCCUGCUCUCUGACCAUGACCUGCUGACCACAGUGAUUAAUUCAUCUCAUUAUCAAAGGCUCCACUUUAUAAUGUUUAGAGAGUUAAAUAAUGAACACAGUCUGUUAUAUAACUCUGUGACUGACUGCAGAGUUAUGAAAGAAAUCACUGAGAUAAGGUCUGAUAAUAAAGCGUCUGUAAAUCAAGAGUUUCUGAUUGAAUGGAGCUUUUCUUCUCUGUUUGUUCACAUGAAAAGUAAUGAACGAUAACGGUUAUAUAACACACUUCAUUAUGAGUCUGACAUGAGUCACAGAGAGAGAGUCUGAUAACGUCUGAACGUCAGGGAAAUCAAACUCACUAAAUAAACUUUCUAUUUAUUGUUAUUUUAUUGAGUUUGCCCUUAUCUGAAUCAGCCUUUCAGUUAGUUUUUAUUUUAUUUUAAUCAUUUUAUUUCGAUCAAAUUCAUUUUUAUGUGGUAAUUAUAUUCAAAUCAUUUUAAUUUGGUCUUAUUUGAUUUAAAAUCAUAUGUUAUUUGGAGCAGCUGUAAUAAAUUAAGUCUUUAAAAAGAAAUUAUUUAUCCAAUUUAAAUCAGGUUUUUAUUUUAUUUCUAUCUUAUUUAGAACAGUUUAUUUAAUGUCUUAUUAAAUUAGGUUUUAAUUUUUAUUUCUAUGUCACUUAAAUCAUCUUUUUGUUUAGUUUUAAUUUUAAUUCGUUUUUUAUUUAAAUUUAAUUUUAUUCAGAACAUUUUUUUAUUUCUAUUUAAACUGAGUUUUCAGUUUAAUUUCUUUUUGACUUAUUUCAGCUUUUUAUUUAGUUUUUAUUUCAAUUAGGUUUUUAUUUGGAGCAGCUCUUAUAAUUUAAUUUUUAGACAGAAAUACUUUCAAGUUUUAAGACACGUUUUAAGUCAUUUUUACUCUCAUUCAUUUGAUUAAAUAAAAAGUCCUCAUAUCAUAUUUCAGACCUUAUAUCUCUAAUUUAAUUAACCAGAAUCUUUCAUAUGAAACUUUUUAGACAAUAAAAUGUCACACAAAGUUUUAAGUGUAAGAAUAAAAUCAAGCGAACAGACAGUGUUAGGUAAAAGUCAAUGAAACAGACUGAAAUUCAAAGUCAGAUAAAACAUCAUGACUUCUUUUAAAAUCCACUCAGUCUGUGAGUCCGGCAGUUUUCAGGUGAUAAACUUGGACAUCAGGAACUUUUCCUGAACAGAGACGGAGGGACCCUAAACUUCUGUAAAACCUCCAGUCCACUUUUCUGACAGUCUGAACUUCACAGAGACACCUCUCCGAAAAUCAUCACGACAUUAUAAAAGAGCUCUGUGUCCAAACAUCAGAAUUCCUGCUCACACACACACACACACACACACACACACACACACACACACACACACACACACACACACUCUUAAGAUGUGUGUGUGUGUGUGUGUGUGUGUGUGUGUGUGUCUUACAUGCUCCUCUCUCAGCCUCUAACUGAACCCUUCAGUCUGUGACCUUCACUGACCUCUGAACAGAGCAGACCUUCUUCUAUGUACAGGAACCAGCUGAUUAUAGACCACGCCCACCAGGAACCAGACCACCGCCGAC